This 460-nucleotide ribosomal RNA is filed under the name uncultured bacterium. RNAcentral describes it as "partial 16S ribosomal RNA". It matches the Rfam family "Bacterial small subunit ribosomal RNA", at positions 338 to 795 of the family's 1533-position model. The record is from RNAcentral.
CCUACGGGAGGCUGCAGUGAGGAAUAUUGGGCAAUGGGCGUAAGCCUGAAGCAGCCAAGUCGCGUGAGGGAUGAAGGUUCUAUGGAUGGUAAACCUCUUUUAUAAGGGAAUAAAGUGUGGGACGUGUCCUAUUGUGUAUGUACCGUAUGAAUAAGGAUCGGCUAACUCCGUGCCAGCAGCCGCGGUAAUACGGAGGAGCCGAGCGUUAUCCGGAUUUAUUGGGUUUAAAGGGUGCGUAGGCGGCCUUUUAAGUCAGCGGUGAAAGUCUGUGGCUCAACCAUAGAAUUGCCGUUGAAACUGGGGGGCUUGAGUAUGUUUGAGGCAGGCGGAAUGCGUGGUGUAGCGGUGAAAUGCUUAGAUAUCACGCAGAACCCCGAUUGCGAAGGCAGCCUGCCAGGCCAUGACUGACGCUGAUGCACGAAAGCGUGGGGAUCAAACAGGAUUAGAUACCCGAGUAGUC